ACUCCAACAAUGUCCUAUGUUACAAACCAACUCUUCUUUCUAUUAUUCUUAUUAUUAUUCUCGAACGCGAGUACGAACCCGUCAACGCCAUUCGGGUCGAGCCAUGAUUGUUCGGGCGCGUUGUUUGGGUUCAGCGAAUGCUUGGAGUUUGUGGAGGGCGGGGCGAACGGGGCCGAAUCGGGAUUGCUGCUCUGGGCUCGGUCACGUGCUGAGCCGGAGCGUCACGUGCCUCUGCGAGGCCAUACGAGAAGGGGCAAGGCUAGGCGUACCCGUGAACGUCACCAAAGCUCUCGCUUUGCCCUCGCUUUGUGGGCUCUCCUACACACUAAUAGUCCCCUGUUACAAAAGUAAGAGGUGUAUUUUUUUUAUGGUCCAAUUUCAUAUAUACAAAUUGCUUUCAUAAGAAAAAAUAAGUAAAAUAAGAUUUCUUCGUACUCUUUUUUUUUUCAUUUUUUUGGUGCAUAAGAAUGUAAGGACUGAGAGUUUUCCAAUGCAACUAAACUCUCUGUUGAUGAUGUUUAUGUGUGUAAUUUAAUCACAUAAACACUCGUCAAUUUUCAGGAGAAAUUGAGAUAGAACGGAGAAGUUACGCGAUCUCCAAGUUUCACUUAAAGUGAAUAGUAACUCGGUUUUCCGGAGAAGCCAUGAUGUGAAGUUGGCUUCAGGCUUGUAUCGGACUCCGUUCAUAGCAAUCCAAUAGCUCGUUUCGACCGGUUCAGCUAUUCUGGAACCAAUGGCACUGACGGAUUUCAGAUCUGACGCACGACUUUCGAGAAAAAGGGAUUUUAUCGAAAAGAGGGUUUUCGCUCUUUGCUGUUCUUGCAUAUUGAGACUCCUCGUACUCUGUGUUUGUGACCUAGAGUAAGGUGAGGGAUGUUACAUGUACCUACUAGUGGUAGGAGAUUCAAAUUUAAAUUUGAAUCUAGGAUUUAGUGGGAUUACACAUUGGUAUAUGUGUGUGGUUUUUGGAAAUUGGAGAGCGGACGGGUUUCGUCGCGAAUCCGUGACCGAUUGAUGCGAACCAAAUCGUAGGUUUAUUGUCUCCGUUGUGCUGAUCGCACUAGUGCGAUCCGUUCGCAAAUCUGACAGACGGAUCUGUGGAUAUCGUACGUUGUUCGAGGAGGGGUCUUAGAUGGCAAAUUGGUAUUUUUGCGAAAGGUGCGACAUUUUAUGUACCGUUUCGCGUGAGAUCGCAUAUGGGGGUAUAUGCGCGCGUUUUACUCAUGCUGUGGUGGACCCAGUCCGAAAUUCUGAUUUUUGGUGGACUUAUUUGCAAUUCUGCACCAAGUAUUUAUGGUUGCAUUAGGGUUUUCCACUUGAAGCUCUAACCUAGCCCUAGCCACACCCCCCAGCCACCUUCACCCUGCUCCCCUGCCCUAGUCGCGUGCCUUCCGGUCGCCGCUGACCAAGUCCGGCCGGUCGGCCGCCACCACAUCACCAUUUUAUUCUCUCUCUCUCUCUCUCUCUCUCUCUCUCUCUCUCUCUCUCGGGUUGAGAGGAGGCCCGAGACUGGGUUGCCUCCAAGCUCUGCCCCAGCGUCGCCCUGACCCCAUCGGAGCUUCCCCUGGCCGGUCGCUGCCGCCUGCCGCCGUCGCCUGCGCCGCCGCUGCUAGUUCUGCAGCCUGCGGCCACCCCAGCUCGAGCUCAGGCUAAGGCUUGCGUGCGGCCUCCCCCUUGCGUCGCCGUCGCCCCGGGCCAACCCUGAGGCACCUCCUCGACCUUGGGUAGUCGACCGCCGCCGCCUCGAGUCGCCCGGAGCGCCGCCGGGGCUGCACCAACCGCCUGCUGCCUUCCAGACCGAGCCCGGGCUGAGGCAGGUCUGCGACCUCUUCCCCGCGUCACCACCACCUUGGGCCACCCCGUGGCACCUCCUCCGACCUCGGGUUGUCGGUCUCCGCCUCCCCGAGCCGUCCCAAGCGCCGCCGCCGCGCUGCAGCCGCCUGGCGGGUUCCCUGGGCAAGCUCGGUCCGAGCCGAGCUCGCAAUUCCUUCCCUGCGUCGCCGCCGCUCGGGGCCGCACCCGAGGUACUCCUCCGGCCUCUGGGGACCUGCCGCCGUCGUCCCUGAGCGCCCCGGACGCCGCCGUGGCCGCAACUGCCCUCGGAACCCAAGCCGGAUCUUGUGCGGGCUUGGUUCUCUCCUCCGCCGCCGCCGCCGCUUCUAGCCGCCACUUGAGGUGAGCACCGUAUUCCUCACCUCUCCCGCACCCAUCCCUGGCCCCUGUGCGCGCCUCCAUGCCGCCGAAAGCCGGCCGGAGCAAGCUUGCUCCGGCCAAGCCCGAAAUAGGGUUUUUAGGGAGUGGGUUGCCGUUUUGUGCUUUCCAGGGCUUCUCGACCUCUACGGAAGGGAGCACGAUGAUUGCAACUCAUCGCUGAUCACCGUGCUCACCUUGGUUUCUAUCGGAAAGGCCCCGAUCCAUUGUUUCGGUGAUGUUGCGCCGUUUGAGCCUUUUUGACUACUGUUUUUGGUUUGCGUGCAUUGUUCCGGCGAUCCGAGGCUGUCCUGAUGCCUCCGGAGGUGAGCAUGGUGAUUCUUGGUCAGUACCGAUCACAAUGCUCACCUUACUUUGGAUCAAGGAUGUCGUAUAGUCCUGUUUGGCACAGUUUUCCCCGACUUCGCGCUGUUUCGCUGAUAUUCGCGUCGCUCGUGCGCGUGCCACAGUGGCCGGCAGUGCUCCGAAAGGUGAGCACGGCCUCCGGCACGUCAAAACCUGUCAGUGGGUAUCUUGGCUUGGCUGAUCGACCACUGGUUUGCGUGGACGGACCAUAAAAGCGCCGAAAUCGCAUGAAAUAAUGCGAUUUCGGGUAAUCGGGAGGGCUUUUAUGUAUUUUAGGUUGUUGCGGUUGUUGUUGGCAGCAUGGAUGAGUUGUGGGUGACCUCUGGACUGAUUGUCCAUGGCCCUGGACCUUUGCGAAGAUCGAAAAUGCAUUUUCGGAGCAUUUUUCGGCGAAAUCCGCUGAUAGAACGCGUUUUCGAUUCGGAAUUCUUUCGACGGUACUUGGGGAUCAUUUGUUUCGUCGCUGACCCUUGUUGGCUGGUCGCCCGCGUCGUUUUGUGGGUUUGGAAAUGACAGGUGAGCGACGGUGAAGUUCCAAUGCGGUUUUCGGGACUUCCGGUUUGUUCGGUAAUCGGUUUUGGGAAACCGAUUAUCGUGGGUUUAUUUGUGGGGUUACGCUUUUAGGGUUUCUUAGUUGUGGGUUAGACACUAACCCAGUGGACCCUCCAUAGGUCCUGUUGACGUACUUUUGUAGUCAGGAGACAGGCGCGACAGUUAUACAGGUGGGUACUUCGAUCCGACGUCGGUACAGUGGUGCACGUUCGGUGAUGGUUUCUUACCUUUGCCCUCUUACUAUUAUCUGUGUGCUUAUACUAUAUGUUGAGCCUAGCAUCCACGUUGUUUGGUUAUACUCUACUCAGAUAUUUCCAUGCUUAGUAUCAUGUGUAGGAGUAUAGUCUAUCUGUAUUUGAUAUCAUGUUUUCUUGUUGCUCUACUUGCUUGUUUUACAUAUCUUAUAUCAUGUUUAUAGUAGAGCGGUUCCGUGACCAUCUGUGAAAUUAGUGACGUAGUCGGUCGAUUUUAGUAUCCCGUAAUUGUGACCUACUCGAUCAGUUCCUUGAUUUCUAUUAUUCGAUGACCUAUACGGUUGGUAUACCCUAAGGGGUGGGAUUGUCGGCUAGUUGUCGACGAAUGAUUAUAGUUUUCACAGAUCCGUCAUUAGACCCGUUGUGACCUAGUCUGUUCGUUCUGGAUUCUUGCCGUUUGAUGACCCACGAGGUCGGUGUACCCUGAGGGGUAGGAUUGUCAGCUAGUGGCUGACGGCAGUUCCAGAUUAUAGUGAUACAUAUCCUAUACUUGUGACAUGAUUGGUCGAGUUCAUAUCCUACACUUGUGACAUUAUUGGUCGAGUUUCAUAUCCUAUACUUGUGACAUGAUUGGUCGAGCUUCAUAUCCUAUAUUUAUGACCUGGUUGGUCGAGUUUCAUACGCUAUACUUGUUACCUGGUUGGUCGAUUUGGUUACAUGAUACCCAUACGGUCGAUGGGCCCUGGGGGGCAGGAUUGUCGGCUGGUUGCCGACGGUUGAUCAUUGAGCAUAUUGCAUUGAUCGCCCGAUACUCGUCGCAUUUCACGAACACUGGCGGUCUGAUCCACCGCAAGGAGUGUUCUUUUCCGGAAAAGUGGUUGAAUGGUGACAACCCGUGAGCCCUAGAGGGGUUAUAUGCACUGGAGAGUAGUAGUGGCAUUGGCUUGAGGUCUGCGGUGCUGACCAAGAGAGCAUUGGUUUUAGAUUGGGUACUUUUGGACUGAUUGUCCCGUUGAUGCAUACGUCUAUAGUAGCAGUUGUUGCAUGCAUACUUACAGUUCUUUCUAUAUACUUGUCUUGCUACUAUAGUUUGAUACCCAGGUAUGUUUUAUAUUCUUCUUACAGUAGCGAUAGUCGUUCUUAUACAUUCUGUUCAUGUAUUAUUGUUGCUACUGUAUUUAGUAUAUCUGCUCAUUACCUUAUACAUCUCUUUCGUUUACUAUUGUUCCUACUGUAUUUCCACUGACCCGUAUUGUUAUAUAGCUCUUCCUGAUCCGGUGAGUACUCCUCGCCUUCUUCGGCUUGCGGUACCCACUGGGAGGGGAGACAUGUUUACAUGUUCUCACCUCCCCCACUAUUUUUCAGGUAUCGUGGGCGGUGAGGGUUGAGACGAGACGUGAGAUACGUAGCGGUCGAUAGAGCUUCCAACCCAGGUUAUUUCGAUUUAGUUAUUACCCCUAUUAUUUCUGUUGAUGUAUAGUUUAGUUGGUUUAUGUGGUUCAGUAUUUCAUUACGUUAAAAUAAGAGGAUUUCUGGAUUUUGUAAAAUAAAAGAUUUUCUACCCCUCGUGGUAGCAUGUUUUAAAAAGAAAAGAUUUCCGUGUGGGAAACAACUUUCAAAAGAGUUUUCUCGUGGCUUCUAUGUUUAAACACUGAAUGGUAAAUAUCUGGUGAAUGGUGACUGAAUGUUGAGUAUUGUAUAUUCAUGUAUUGUGGUUGUAUCCUGGUUAUACUCUGUUUGUACUUUUGUACUUGUGCGAUGCCGUGCAAAUACAGGGAAGACUCUGUCCGUGUGAACAGUGAAUUUCCUGUAUUUGUGGCGGAUCUGGCAUACCCUGGGGUUAGGCUUAAAAAAAAAAAAAAGAAAAAAAGAAAAAAAGAAAAAAGAAGACGCUAUUCCGCUGUGUUUCAAACAAGAAAAAAAGGACCCCGGGGCGUGACAAAGAAUGGUUCAUAUUUUGUAAUUUUUUAAUUUUUUAAUUUUUGUUAUCUUUUUGUUUUUAAAUUGUAUGUGUACUGAAAUUAGGGUUUCGUGGAUUGUAGUGCAGCAUCGCGGGGGAAAGCGAAGAUAGAUUUGGAGUCAAUGAAAGGAAAGAAGUAGUAGGUUCGGAGAGAUCGGUAGGAAAUCAACGUGACUGUGACGAAAAAGGAGCUUAACGUUGAUAAUGGCGGCAAAGGUAAUAUGGAGAUGGGGAUUCGUCUCCCCGAUGUCGGUAGUGCGAUCAAGAUGCGUAUGGAGUAAUAAUUCUAUUGUUGCUUCUUUCAUUACUAUUUUUUAUAAUUUAUUUACUGAAAUUAUAAAUUUUGUUACAUUUGUACGUAUAUCAGUUUCAUCUCUUUUAUUUGUAUAUAUGUUAAUAUAUAUUAUCUUUAUUUAUUAAUGUCUUAUGGCAAUUCAAAAACUUUAAAAUUUUUACUUUGUAAAUCUUUUGUCUUCUAUAGCAUCAGCCCGCCGCAAUGCGCGGGUAACUUCACUAGUGCAGCUUAAUUAUGUGCUGACCGGUGGGGUCCACAUGCCCCUAAUUAAGCAUAAUCUGCCACGUGGACUUAUUAAUAUAAGUUAAUAGAUAUUAUAAAUUGUUAUAUAAAAUAGUAUAAAUAAUUUUUUAUAAAAUAUAUUGAUAUAAAUAAAUUAUUUUAUUUUUAAAAUAUUCAUGAAUAUUUCAAACGUAAAUUUAUAGUAGUUCUAAAUUUUUCCGGAAUAUGAGUGAGGCUGGUAUGCUUCUGGAAGUACGGAGCGUUUCGUAUUUCCAAGCCGUUUUUGAUGUCGUGACUUUUGAAUCGACGAUCUCUCCCGUUAGAUUUGAUCUAGAAUAUUUGAAGUAUCUAAAAAAUAAAUUUUAUAAUUUUUCGAUAUCAUUUGCCUAGUGAUCGAAGGAGCUCAAAAUCAAUCAUUUUAAUGGUCGUGUUAAGUCGUUUGCAAGUUUAACGGUGUAGAAAUAUCUAAAUUCUAUCAAAUUUUGAUAGAAAAUUCGUUAUACUAAUAUAAAAUAAGUUUAAUAUUUUUAAUCUAAAAUUUUAAUGUCAUAUCAUUAUAUUUUGUAAAUUUUUUAUUUUUAGUCGUUAAUUUUGAGUUCUUUAAUUACUAGACAAAUAAUAUUAAAAAAUUAAAAAAUUUAUUUUUUUAGCUACUUUUAAUUACUAUAAAUUAAUUUUAAUGGAGUGGAUCGUACGUUCGAAAGUCCUAACAUUAAAAACCGUGCUUCCUCCCGGAAUAUAAUCCCGUAAAUGAUAAUAGGAGCGUCAUUUGAUUCUCUUACAACAUAAUCUUGUAAUCUCUUCUUCUUCUUCU
RNAcentral lists this long non-coding RNA (6593 nucleotides) under Ananas comosus (pineapple). RNAcentral's name for it is "long non-coding RNA (ACOM_LNC028943)". The record is from RNAcentral. Lineage: Eukaryota; Viridiplantae; Streptophyta; Magnoliopsida; Poales; Bromeliaceae.